UACGUAGGGUGCAAGCGUUAAUCGGAAUUACUGGGCGUAAAGCGUGCGCAGGCGGUUUUGUAAGUCUGUCGUGAAAUCCCCGGGCUCAACCUGGGAAUUGCGAUGGAGACUGCAAGGCUAGAAUCUGGCAGAGGGGGGUAGAAUUCCACGUGUAGCAGUGAAAUGCGUAGAGAUGUGGAGGAACACCGAUGGCGAAGGCAGUCCCCUGGGUCAAGAUUGACGCUCAUGCACGAAAGCGUGGGGAGCAAACAGG
RNAcentral lists this ribosomal RNA (253 nucleotides) under uncultured bacterium. RNAcentral's name for it is "partial 16S ribosomal RNA". It matches the Rfam family "Bacterial small subunit ribosomal RNA", at positions 524 to 776 of the family's 1533-position model. The record is from RNAcentral.